UACGUAAGGGCCGAGCGUUAUCCGGAUUUACUGGGCGUAAAGCGCACGUAGGUGGUUUAUUAAGUUGGGCGUUAAAUCCAUUGGCUUAACCAAUGUACGCGCUCAAUACUGGUAAUCUAGAGUGUAGGAGAGGGAAGUGGAACUCACAGUGUAGCGGUGAAAUGCGUAGAUAUUGUGAGGAACACCAGUGGCGAAGGCGACUUCCUAGACUACUACUGACGCUGAGGUGCGAAAGCGUGGGGAGCAAACAGG
This 252-nucleotide ribosomal RNA is filed under the name uncultured bacterium. Its description in RNAcentral is "partial 16S ribosomal RNA". It matches the Rfam family "Bacterial small subunit ribosomal RNA", at positions 524 to 776 of the family's 1533-position model. The record is from RNAcentral.